GACGAACGCUGGCGGCGUGCUUAAUACAUGCAAGUCGAACGGAAAGGCCCUGCUUUUGUGGGGUGCUCGAGUGGCGAACGGGUGAGUAACACGUGAGUAACCUGCCCUUGACUUUGGGAUAACUUCAGGAAACUGGGGCUAAUACCGGAUAGGAGCUCCUGCUGCAUGGUGGGGGUUGGAAAGUUUCGGCGGUUGGGGAUGGACGCGCGGCUUAUCAGCUUGUUGGUGGGGUAGUGGCUUACCAAGGCUUUGACGGGUAGCCGGCCUGAGAGGGUGACCGGCCACAUUGGGACUGAGAUACGGCCCAGACUCCUACGGGAGGCAGAAGUGGGGAAUAUUGCACAAUGGGCGGAAGCCUGAUGCAGCAACGCCGCGUGCGGGAUGACGGCCUUCGGGUUGUAAACCGCUUUCGCCUGUGACGAAGCGUGAGUGACGGUAAUGGGUAAAGAAGCACCGGCUAACUACGUG
RNAcentral lists this ribosomal RNA (468 nucleotides) under uncultured bacterium. Its description in RNAcentral is "partial 16S ribosomal RNA". It matches the Rfam family "Bacterial small subunit ribosomal RNA", at positions 28 to 507 of the family's 1533-position model. The record is from RNAcentral.